AACAGUGUUUGAGGCUGGUCACACUGCCAGUGGCACUUUGAGCCUGAGGGCAGCCAAGGAGAUAAAGGCUCACUUUAACUACAAUUUAAACUGAGUCAUGCAGCGACAUUAUCAAGAAAAACACAGACACAAAAGGUUUUAUAAAACACUCAUGACACUGAAUAUUUCUAAUAAUAUAUUUCUAAUAUUGCAGCUUUAGCCACAAAGGCGUUCCUAUGAACCAGCAUGUAAGCAGAGCCAAACAUGUCAAGCCAUGUGCUUCCUAUUUGGAUCUGUUCAUUGGAACAUUUUCAGCAGCAGGAUGGGGCAGAGCAGAUUGGACAGGCAGCUGCUUGUGUCAUCUGUCAGUGUUUUAGGGCGGAUUAGAGGUGAAAUGCUACAGCUGACAGUUCCCCUGGCUGCCUGGACACCACACAGAUACCAGGCCCUUUAAUGGAUGUAAACCCCAUGCCAGCAAAUGGAGACGGAAUCAUAUGGUACUUCCCUCUGAUGCCUGCAGAUGUCAGCAACAGUACAGAAAUCGAACUGUACUGUAACAGUUUGUAGUGGAUGAGAUGCUGUUGCAGUUGCACGACAGAUUGAUCAAAUAGAGCCGUCUUAUUGGAUGUUAAAAAUAUAUACUCAGGGUUGUUACACAAAAAAGAAAUGAGUUUCAAAAAAUGUUCCACAAGUUUUCCAUGUUGUUUUAUCCUUUUUCCAUAACAUAGUCAGGCCUAUAUUGCAAUCAUAGGGCACAAUAAUGAGCCUCUAUGUGAUAAUGUAACAUUUGAACAUUUUUGCAUCUUCAGCUGACCGACUAAUAUAACGAAGGCCACAAGAGCAAUUCUCUGAAAAUAAGUAAUUCAAGAAACUAAUUUCUAGAAAUAGGCAAGUAACUAAGUUACCUGCAAGUCACCUCCCAGUCAGUCAGACAGUCUGACUCUACUUCUGCCUUUAAUUGAAAUUUAAACUGUAAGUUUACUGUUUAUUCUUUGAUUUAUUUAGGCUGUGUUUCUAUAACCUUGUCCUCACAGUGGUUGGAAUUCAGCCCUGAGACUAAUUUGUUAUUUGACUAUAUAAAUAUAAUUGCCUUAACCUGGCUCCUAUUGACUUUUAA
Molecule: long non-coding RNA, 1096 nt
Organism: Hippoglossus stenolepis (Pacific halibut)
Lineage: Eukaryota; Metazoa; Chordata; Actinopteri; Pleuronectiformes; Pleuronectidae
Exons: 2
Source: RefSeq, a predicted model, not a curated record